CCUACGGGAGGCAGCAGUGGGGAAUAUUGCACAAUGGGGGAAACCCUGAUGCAGCGACGCCGCGUGAGUGUAGAAGUAUUUCGGUAUGUAAAGCUCUAUCAGCCGGGAAGAAAAUGACGGUACCUGAUUAAGAAGCCCCGGCUAACUACGUGCCAGCAGCCGCGGUCAUACGGAGGAUGCGAGCUUUAUCCGGAUUUAUUGGCUUUAGCGGGUGCGCAGGCGGGCUGUUAAUCCGGCGGUAAAAAGUCAGGGCUCAACCCUAUCGAGCCGUCGGAACUGGCAGUCUUGAGUGGGCGAGAAGUAUGCGGAAUGCGUGGUGUAGCGGUGAAAUGCAUAGAUAUCACGCAGAACGCCGAUUGCGAAGGCAGCAUACCGGCGCCCAACUGACGCUGAGGCACGAAAGCGUGGGGAUCGAACAGGAUUAGAUACCCCAGUAGUC
Molecule: ribosomal RNA, 439 nt
Filed under: uncultured bacterium
Lineage: Bacteria
Description: partial 16S ribosomal RNA
Rfam family: Bacterial small subunit ribosomal RNA
Source: RNAcentral